UACGUAGGGUGCAAGCGUUGUCCGGAAUUAUUGGGCGUAAAGAGCUCGUAGGCGGUUCGUCGCGUCGGCUGUGAAAACCUGAGGCUCAACCUCAGGCCUGCAGUCGAUACGGGCGGACUUGAGUACUGCAGGGGAGACUGGAAUUCCUGGUGUAGCGGUGAAAUGCGCAGAUAUCAGGAGGAACGACCGGUGGCGAAGGCGGGUCUCUGGGCAGUAACUGACGCUGAGGAGCGAAAGCGUGGGGAGCGAACAGG
This 254-nucleotide ribosomal RNA is filed under the name uncultured bacterium. RNAcentral's name for it is "partial 16S ribosomal RNA". It matches the Rfam family "Bacterial small subunit ribosomal RNA", at positions 524 to 776 of the family's 1533-position model. The record is from RNAcentral.